This 710-nucleotide ribosomal RNA is filed under the name uncultured Erwinia sp. RNAcentral describes it as "bacterial SSU rRNA". It matches the Rfam family "Bacterial small subunit ribosomal RNA", at positions 804 to 1515 of the family's 1533-position model. The record is from RNAcentral. Lineage: Bacteria; Pseudomonadati; Pseudomonadota; Gammaproteobacteria; Enterobacterales; Erwiniaceae.
AAACGAUGUCGACUUGGAGGUUGUGCCCCUGAGGCGUGGCUUCGGAGCUAACGCGUUAAGUCGACCGCCUGGGGAGUACGGCCGCAAGGUUAAAACUCAAAUGAAUUGACGGGGGCCCGCACAAGCGGUGGAGCAUGUGGUUUAAUUCGAUGCAACGCGAAGAACCUUACCUGGCCUUGACAUCCACGGAAUUUGGCAGAGAUGCCUUAGUGCCUUCGGGAACCGUGAGACAGGUGCUGCAUGGCUGUCGUCAGCUCGUGUUGUGAAAUGUUGGGUUAAGUCCCGCAACGAGCGCAACCCUUAUCCUUUGUUGCCAGCGAUACGGUCGGGAACUCAAAGGAGACUGCCGGUGAUAAACCGGAGGAAGGUGGGGAUGACGUCAAGUCAUCAUGGCCCUUACGGCCAGGGCUACACACGUGCUACAAUGGCGCAUACAAAGAGAAGCGACCUCGCGAGAGCAAGCGGACCUCAUAAAGUGCGUCGUAGUCCGGAUCGGAGUCUGCAACUCGACUCCGUGAAGUCGGAAUCGCUAGUAAUCGUAGAUCAGAAUGCUACGGUGAAUACGUUCCCGGGCCUUGUACACACCGCCCGUCACACCAUGGGAGUGGGUUGCAAAAGAAGUAGGUAGCUUAACCUUCGGGAGGGCGCUUACCACUUUGUGAUUCAUGACUGGGGUGAAGUCGUAACAAGGUAACCAAGGGCGAAUUCUG